GACGAGGGGUCCAAGCGUUGUUCGGAAUCAUUGGGCGUAAAGCGGGUGUAGGUGGAUUUGUAAGUCAGGAGUGAAAGCCCCAGGCUUAACCUGGGAAGUGCUUUUGAUACUGCAAAUCUUGAAUGUGGGAGAGGAUGGUGGAAUUCCAGGUGUAGUGGUGAAAUACGUAGAUAUCUGGAGGAACUCCGGUGGCGAAGGCGGCCAUCUGGCCCAACAUUGACACUGAGACCCGAAAGCGUGGGGAUCAAACAGG
Molecule: ribosomal RNA, 253 nt
Filed under: uncultured bacterium
Lineage: Bacteria
Description: partial 16S ribosomal RNA
Rfam family: Bacterial small subunit ribosomal RNA
Source: RNAcentral